GUGGGGAAUAUUGGACAAUGGGGGGAACCCUGAUCCAGCCAUGCCGCGUGUGUGAAGAAGGCCUUUUGGUUGUAAAGCACUUUAAGCGAGGAGGAGGCGCUCUAGGAUAAUACCCUAGAUGCGUGGACGUUACUCGCAGAAUAAGCACCGGCUAACUCUGUGCCAGCAGCCGCGGUAAUACAGAGGGUGCGAGCGUUAAUCGGAUUUACUGGGCGUAAAGCGCGCGUAGGUGGCUAAUUAAGUCAAAUGUGAAAUCCCCGAGCUUAACUUGGGAAUUGCAUUCGAUACUGGUUAGCUAGAGUAUGGGAGAGGAUGGUAGAAUUCCAGGUGUAGCGGUGAAAUGCGUAGAGAUCUGGAGGAAUACCGAUGGCGAAGGCAGCCAUCUGGCCUAAUACUGACACUGAGGUGCGAAAGCAUGGGGAGCAA
Molecule: ribosomal RNA, 426 nt
Filed under: uncultured Acinetobacter sp.
Lineage: Bacteria; Pseudomonadati; Pseudomonadota; Gammaproteobacteria; Moraxellales; Moraxellaceae
Description: bacterial SSU rRNA
Rfam family: Bacterial small subunit ribosomal RNA
Source: RNAcentral